Molecule: non-coding RNA, 73 nt
Organism: Dallia pectoralis (Alaska blackfish)
Lineage: Eukaryota; Metazoa; Chordata; Actinopteri; Esociformes; Umbridae
Source: the annotation of a GenBank genome assembly
CCAUGUUUGGUGCAGUGGUUAGAACACUUGGCUGUGGAGCCAGAGGACCCUGGUUCAAUUCCCGCCACCAGAU